Molecule: ribosomal RNA, 607 nt
Filed under: uncultured bacterium
Lineage: Bacteria
Description: bacterial SSU rRNA
Rfam family: Bacterial small subunit ribosomal RNA
Source: RNAcentral
CCUACGGGAGGCAGCAGUGGGGAAUCUUGCGCAAUGGGCGAAAGCCUGACGCAGCCAUGCCGCGUGAAUGAUGAAGGUCUUAGGAUUGUAAAAUUCUUUCACCGGGGACGAUAAUGACGGUACCCGGGAGAAGAAGCCCCCGGCUAACUUCGUGCCAGCAGCCGCGGUAAUACGAAGGGGGCUAGCGUUGCUCGGGAAUUACUGGGCGUAAAGGGAGCGUAGGCGGAUAGUUUAGUCAGAGGUGAAAGCCCAGGGCUCAACCUUGGAAUUGCCCUUUGAUACUGGCUAUCUUGAGUAUGGGAGAGGUUAGCGGAACUCCGAGUGUAGAGGUGAAAUUCGUAGAUAUUCGGAAGAACACCAGUGGCGAAGGCGGCUAACUGGCCCAUUACUGACGCUGAGGCUCGAAAGCGUGGGGAGCAAACAGGAUUAGAUACCCUGGUAGGUCCACGCCGUAAACGAUGAGUGCUAGUUGUCGGCAAUGCAUGCAUGUCGGUGACGCAGCUAACGACAUAAGACACUCCGCCGUGGGAGGUACGGUCGCGAGAUUAAACUACAAGAAGUUAGACGACGUGAGACGUGCCGAACGGACGACGACGAGGGAGGUAGG